Molecule: non-coding RNA, 23 nt
Filed under: Arabidopsis thaliana (thale cress)
Lineage: Eukaryota; Viridiplantae; Streptophyta; Magnoliopsida; Brassicales; Brassicaceae
Source: RNAcentral
AGGCAUAAUCAGUGUCGUGCCUA